This 616-nucleotide ribosomal RNA is filed under the name Suillus subluteus. RNAcentral describes it as "eukaryotic LSU rRNA". It matches the Rfam family "Eukaryotic large subunit ribosomal RNA", at positions 64 to 653 of the family's 3401-position model. The record is from RNAcentral. Lineage: Eukaryota; Fungi; Basidiomycota; Agaricomycetes; Boletales; Suillaceae.
ACUAACAAGGAUUCCCCUAGUAACUGCGAGUGAACCGGGAAAAGCUCAAAUUUUGAAUCUGGCGGUCUUCAGGCCGUCCGAGUUGUAAUCUAGAGAAGCGUCUUCCGCGCUGGACCGUGUAUAAGUUUCCUGGAAUGGAACGUCGUAGAGGGUGAGAAUCCCGUCUUUGACACGGACUGCCAGGGCUAUGUGAUGCGCUCUCGACGAGUCGAGUUGUUUGGGAAUGCAGCUCAAAUAGGGUGGUAAAUUCCAUCUAAAGCUAAAUACAGGCGAGAGACCGAUAGCGAACAAGUACCGUGAGGGAAAGAUGAAAAGAACUUUGGAAAGAGAGUUAAACAGUACGUGAAAUUGCUGAAAGGGAAACGCUUGAUGUCAGUCGCGUCGGCCGGGGAUCAGCCUUGCUCUUUUGCUCGGUGUAUUUCCUGGCAGACGGGUCAGCAUCGGUUUUGACCGUCGGAAAAUGGCUGGAGGAAUGUGGCACUCCUCGGAGUGUGUUAUAGACUCUGGUCGAAUACGACGAUUGGGACCGAGGAACUCAGCACGACCUUAGGGUUCGGGGCUUCGGCCCACGUUAACGUGCUUAGGAUGCUGGCAUAAUGGCCUUAAGCGACCCGUC